This 1238-nucleotide long non-coding RNA is filed under the name Mus pahari (shrew mouse). RNAcentral describes it as "lncRNA (MGP_PahariEiJ_G0004682.1)". Lineage: Eukaryota; Metazoa; Chordata; Mammalia; Rodentia; Muridae. The record is from RNAcentral.
GAAUGUGGCUGGGAGAGACGCUCACCUGCGGCAUACGUGGAUCCUUCCUCGUAGCCCGGGGCUGGUUGGCUCGCUCCUUUGAGAGACAGCCCCUUGCUGGGAGACUGAGGCAGGAGGCCAUUCACGAGUUCGAAGCCAGUUCGGAUCACAUAGUAAAUUCCAGGCUAGCCUAGGCUACAGAGUCAGACUCGGUCUCCAAACCAAAAAUUAAGCAAACCAACAAUACACCCGACUUCUUUUUGAGACCGUUUUGGCUGCUCUGGAAUAGGUUAUGUAGACUUCUGCCUACCGUGGGCUGGAUUAAAGAAAGCUGGAGACUGGAUUCCUCACAGAGUGGCUUACAAUGGAUACUUCAGGACUUGUGGGAUCCCACGUGGGGUUUAAUCACAGAGACACAGAGACAGCUGUAUAGUAUAAGGCUGUUGGCCUGUUUGCUGGGGCAGUCCCUCAGCUAACCCUCCAGACUCAAUACGACUUCUCUGCUACUGAGCCCAUGGCAUUCUCUCUGCCCUGCUCCGGUUCUGAGUUCUGCCCCCCCCCUCCCUUCCUCCUGCCCCAUUCCAACUUCCAACCCUAUUCCUCAAAGGCCACAUGCCUUACUCAUCCAAUCUGAGCCAGUCAGCAGCAGGACAAGGCUCAGUCCAUAUCUCUGUGUUGUAUUUUGGCAUUGGCAGCUUUGUGAACUUCACCCGGCAGCUUUCUUUUUAACAAGUCAAUCUCAGAGAAACACCUUUUUGGCAGGUAAGGAAAGACAAACAUUUACAUAUAGAAAGCAGGAGGAACAACAGUAUGAACCAACCAGUACCCCCAGAGCUCCCAGGGACUAAACCACCAACCAAAGAGCACACACGGAGGGACCAUGGCUCCAGCUGCAUAUUUAGCAGAGGACGGCCUUGUUGGGCAUCAGUGAGAGGAGAGGCCCUUGGUCCUGAGAAGGCUCAAUGCACCAGUGUAGGGGAAUAUCAGGACAGAAGGAGUGGGUGGGCUGGUGAGCAGCGGGGGAGGGGAUGAUGGGAUGGGGGUUCUCGGAGGGGAAACAAGGAAAGGGGAUAACAUUUGAAAUGUAAAUAAAGAGGGGGCUGGAGAGAUGGCUCCAUGGGGGCUGGAGAGAUGGUUGAGAGUCUGAUUGCUCUUCCGAAGGUCCUGAGUUCAAUUCCCAGCAACCACAUGGUGGCUCAUGACCAUCUGUGAUGAGAUCUGAUGCCCUUUUCUGGUGUGUCUGAGGACAGUGUAACUGU